RNAcentral lists this ribosomal RNA (1820 nucleotides) under marine metagenome. RNAcentral's name for it is "bacterial LSU rRNA". It matches the Rfam family "Bacterial large subunit ribosomal RNA", at positions 380 to 2211 of the family's 2925-position model. The record is from RNAcentral.
CGACAUCCGACCUUGCCUAGCCGGUAUCCUGAGUACGGCGGAACACGAGAAAUUCCGUCGGAAUCCGGGAGGACCAUCUCCCAAGCCUAAAUACUCCCUAGUGACCGAUAGUGAACCAGUACCGUGAGGGAAAGGUGAAAAGAACCCCGGAAGGGGAGUGAAACAGCACCUGAAACCGUGUGCUUACAAGUAGUCAGAGCCCGUUUAUGGGUGAUGGCGUACCUUUUGUAGAAUGGACCGGCGAGUGACGAUGUCAUGCAAGGUUAAGCCGAAGAGGUGGAGCCGCAGCGAAAGCGAGUCUGAAUAGGGCGUUCAGUAUGCCGUCGUCGACCCGAAACCAAGUGACCUACCCAUGUCCAGGGUGAAGGUGCAGUGAAAUGCACUGGAGGCCCGAACCCACGUACGUUGAAAAGUGCGGGGAUGAGGUGUGGGUAGCGGAGAAAUUCCAAUCGAACUUGGAGAUAGCUGGUUCUCUCCGAAAUAGCUUUAGGGCUAGCCUCGGAUAGUGCAUCGCGGAGGUAGAGCGACUGUUUGGACUAGGGGCCCUUAUCGGGUUACCGAAUCCUGAUAAACUCCGAAUGCCGCUUAUGUAGAUCCGGGAGUCACACUGCGAGUGAUAAGAUCCGUAGUGGAAAGGGAAACAGCCCAGACCGUCGGUUAAGGUCCCAAAAUCCUUGUUAAGUGGAAAAGGAUGUGGGGCUGCUCAGACAACUAGGAUGUUGGCUUAGAAGCAGCCAUCAUUUAAAGAGUGCGUAAUAGCUCACUAGUCGAGUGGCCCUGCGCCGAAAAUUUACCGGGGCUAAACAAGGUACCGAAACCACGGAUAGAACCAUUGGUUCUAUGGUAGGAGAGCGUUCUAAGGGCAUUGAAGCAAGAUCGUGAGGACUUGUGGAGCGCUUAGAAGUGAGAAUGCCGGUAUGAGUAGCGAAACACGGGUGAGAAUCCCGUGCACCGAAUGACUAAGGUUUCCUGGGGAAGGCUCGUCCUCCCAGGGUUAGUCGGGACCUAAGCCGAGGCCGAUAGGCGUAGGCGAUGGACAACAGGUAGAGAUUCCUGUACCAGUCUGCUUUGUUUGAACGAUGGAGGGACGCAGGAGGCUAAGAUAUGCACGCUGCUGGAUAUGCGUGCCCAAGCAACAAGUCCGAGUAGGAGUCAAAUGCUUCUAUUCAUACGGAUGAGUUGUGAUGGGGAGGGAACUUAUAGUACCGAAGUAUCUGAUGUCACACUGUCAAGAAAAGCUUCUAGUGAGAAGUAGGCUGCCCGUACCGCAAACCGACACAGGUAGUCGAGGAGAGAAUCCUAAGGUGAUCGAGAGAACUCUCGUUAAGGAACUCGGCAAAAUGACCCCGUAACUUCGGGAGAAGGGGUGCUGACCAUCUGGUCAGCCGCAGUGAAUAGGCCCAAGCGACUGUUUACCAAAAACACAGGUCUCUGCUAAUUCGAAAGAAGAUGUAUAGGGGCUGACACCUGCCCGGUGCUGGAAGGUUAAGAGGAAGGGUUAGCUUCGGCGAAGCUCUGAAUUGAAGCCCCAGUAAACGGCGGCCGUAACUAUAACGGUCCUAAGGUAGCGAAAUUCCUUGUCGGGUAAGUUCCGACCCGCACGAAAGGUGUAACGAUUUGGGCACUGUCUCAACGAGAGACUCGGUGAAAUUAUAGUACCUGUGAAGAUGCAGGUUACCCGCGACAGGACGGAAAGACCCCAUGGAGCUUUACUGUAGUUUGAUAUUGAGUGUCUGUACAGCUUGUACAGGAUAGGUAGGAGCCAAUGAAACCAGGACGCCAGUCUUGGUGGAGGCAAUGGUGGGAUACUACCCUCGCUG